UACGAAGGGGGCUAGCGUUAUUCGGAAUUACUGGGCGUAAAGCGCGUGUAGGCGGUUUUUUAAGUUGGGGGUGAAAGCCCGGAGCUCAACUCCGGAAUGUCCUUCAAAACUGGAAAACUUAGAGUUCGAGAGAGGUGAGUGGAAUUCCUAGUGUAGAGGUGGAAUUCGUAGAUAUUAGGAGGAACACCAGUGGCGAAGGCGGCUCACUGGCUCGAUACUGACGCUGUAGCGCGAAAGCGUGGGGAGCAAACAGG
This 254-nucleotide ribosomal RNA is filed under the name uncultured bacterium. Its description in RNAcentral is "partial 16S ribosomal RNA". It matches the Rfam family "Bacterial small subunit ribosomal RNA", at positions 524 to 776 of the family's 1533-position model. The record is from RNAcentral.